This 637-nucleotide long non-coding RNA is filed under the name Nicotiana benthamiana. RNAcentral's name for it is "long non-coding RNA (NBEN_LNC041634)". The record is from RNAcentral. Lineage: Eukaryota; Viridiplantae; Streptophyta; Magnoliopsida; Solanales; Solanaceae.
UAAAAUGCAUGCACAUUGCCUUGUUCGGGGGUCCCUUUUCAGCCAUCAAAAUUCCCCCAAGCCUCUCUCUAAGUUUCUGAUUGAUAUUUGAAAUUCAAAUUCAAAAAAACAAAAACAAAAACCAAUAGGAAAAACCAGAAAACCAAAGCAAAUCUAUUGUUUCAUUACUUUAGUUCAAUUUUCCAUUCCUUAACCAAUAAGUUCAGUGUCUAGCUUCCCUAGAGUCCAAACAGGUGGGAAUCCUUUGUUUCGAGUUCAGUGGGGUUAUUAAGUGAAGUAUUUCGAAGCAAUGGGCUGAUUUAGAGUUAGAAUUGGUGUGUUCGAGCUGAAUUUGGGUUCACUUAGGUCGGUUUUGAGUAGAUCUUACACUUUAUUGAUUUCUGCCAAAUUUCCAAGCUAUUUCUAGGCUGAUUGAACUGAAUCUGGGUUGUUGAUUUCUACCUAUUAUUGUUGUUUGAAUUGCUGAGUACCAGUUUGGUCAUCUGUUGCUGAUUUCUUCCUAUUCUAUUUAAAUCCAGGUACACAGCUUGACUUUGAUAGCUAUGAGAUGAAAUGUUAAGUGUGAACUUGUAGUUGAAGUAUAAAAUGUAAUCUGAUUCAGCUUCGGAGUUGUGCAUCUGAAUAUGUAGUCCAUUAA